Molecule: ribosomal RNA, 320 nt
Filed under: uncultured Actinomycetes bacterium
Lineage: Bacteria; Bacillati; Actinomycetota; Actinomycetes
Description: bacterial SSU rRNA
Rfam family: Bacterial small subunit ribosomal RNA
Source: RNAcentral
GACGAACGCUGGCGGCGUGCUUAACACAUGCAAGUCGAACGGUGACCCAUCUUCGGAUGGUGAUCAGUGGCGAACGGGUGAGUAACACGUGGGCAACCUGCCCCUAGCUCUGGGAUAACUCCUCGAAAGAGGUGCUAAUACCGGAUAUCACCUCCCAGGACAUCCUGGGUGGUUGAAAGUUUUUCGGCUAGGGAUGGGCCCGCGGCCUAUCAGCUUGUUGGUGGGGUAAUGGCCUACCAAGGCGACGACGGGUAGCCGGCCUGAGAGGGCGACCGGCCACACUGGGACUGAGACACGGCCCAGACUCCUACGGGAGGCAG